Magnolia sinica is the source of this 3391-nucleotide RNA transcript. RefSeq lists it as uncharacterized. The transcript has 7 exons. The record is from RefSeq and is a predicted model, not a curated record. NCBI's taxonomy places the organism in Eukaryota, Viridiplantae, Streptophyta, Magnoliopsida, Magnoliales, Magnoliaceae.
GAGAAAGAGGGAGAUGUGCUGUCGCGUCGAUAAAUCAAAGCAAAGGAGCUCCUGAUCUCGCGAUUGCCCCAUUUCUCCGCUCGCUCUGAAAUGCCUUUCCAUUUUCACCUAUUUUCGCCUCUCCCUCUCUCUCUCUCUCGCGCGUCCGGAUCAAUCGAACGGUCGCGAUGAAGUCUAACGGAGUUUCGUUGUAGAAAAUGGGAGUUUGGCAGCUCGUUUACAGAUCUAAUGGAGUGGUUGAGAGUUAGGGUUUAGAUCGGGAUAUCGCUAUUUUUCGCUGUCGUUUUCGUUGCCGUACGGCAAUGAAUCGGAGUUUCAGGGCUGCAGAGUCGAAAAUGUAAGAGCCCGUAGAGCAGCAGAGGCAAGGGAGGAGCCUUGGAGCUGUGAUGAAGGACAAGGAAGAGGAUCUUGCGUUGUUUCUCGAGAUGCGGAAGCGCGAGAAGGAGCGGAAUAGCUUGCUUCUCCUCCACACCUCCGAAGAUUUCGAUCCUCCUUUAGGGUCGAAACCAGGCGGUUCUCCCAUAUUCAAGAUAGUGUCAUCAACACCACAUAAAACUGCUUCUGAUGACUUCCUAAACUCCGACAGCGAGAAAAAUGAUUAUGAUUGGCUUCUUACGCCACCUGGUACUCCUCUUUUUCCUUCUCUGGAAAUGGAGUCAAACAAAUCCACCCUGGGUCAGAUUGUAACCCCCAAAGCUCGUCCAACUGCACUGAAGUCUAGGGUACAAUUCCCAUUGGUGUUGGGAAGCUUAACAAGUUGGAGAAACUAGGAUCCUUACUCUUGUUCCGGUGGUAGACUCUCAGGAGUUUCAUCACCCGGUCAAGGGUUCAAGGAUCCACAGGUGGUGAAAUCCCACUAAGGUGUGAGUGUGUGGGUGUGUGUUUGCAUGUGUUAAAAAAAGAGAGGAGAAACUGUACUUGGAUUCAAAUGGAUUAUCAGGACAAAUUCCAUCUUCCUUGGGCAACAUCACGAGAUUGUACCUCCUCAAUUUACAUGAAAACAAACUAUCAGGGAGCAUACCUUCCACUCUUGGUAAUUGUCUAAACCUGAACUUCAUAUACCUCUUCAAUAAUAACUUUAGAGGUACCUUACCCCAACAACUUUUCAGCAUUCCAUCUCUGCUUGAUCUCUGAGCUCAAGAGAACUUUUUCACUAGUCUGCCACAUGAAGCCAGUUACUUGAUAUUCGGUGUUUUCAAUAACAAAUUAUCAGGCGAAAUUCCAAGCUGGCUAGGCAAUUGUCUCAGCCUAGAGUAUCUUGGGUUGGAUGGGAACUUCUUUCAAGGAUCAAUUCCAUCAACAUUUAGUACUCUAAAAGGCCUUCGAUACCUGGGUCUUUCACGCAACAACUUAUCUAGGAAGAUUCCAAGAUAUCUGGAGAAGUUUUCUCUAGAGUAUCUAAAUCUAUCCUUCAAUAAUUUCGAGGGUGAAUUACCAAAACAAGGGGUCCUUGGAAAUGCCAGUCGAAUUUCAGUGCUCGGAAAUAGGAAGCUUUGUGGGGGUAUUCAUGAAUUACAAUUGCAUCCAUGCUCUAGCCAAGCUUCCAAGAAAUGGGAGAAGCCUCUUGCUUCAAAAGUCAAAUUCUCAAUAAUUGGUGUUGUCCUGUGUCUUAUAUCAUUAUUGUCUUUCUUUACCACUCUUCAAUUAUUGGUAAAGUUGAGAAGGAAACUUUUUUCUGUGCCUUCUGUGGAGGAUCCUUUUAUGAACGUCUCUUAUGUGGAGCUCUUUAAAGCAACUGAUGAGUUCUCUCCUGCCAAUUUGAUCGGAACUGGAAGUUUUGGCAUCGUAUAUAAAGGGAUUCUAGAUCAUGUUGGGACUAUGGUAGCAGUGAAAGUCUUCAACCUUCAACGACAAGGAGCUCUGAGGAGCUUCAUGGCGGAAUGUGAUGCCUUGAGAAACAUUAGGCAUCGGAAUCUUGUUAAGAUCUUAACUUGUUGCUCGAGCAUUGAUAUUUAAGGGCAAUGAUUUUAAAGCUCUAGUUUACGAGUACAUGCCCAAUGGAAGUCUAGAGAAGUGGUUGCCCAAAGAUGGCCGUGACCAGCCGAGAAGAAGCUUGAAGUUUACUCAAAGGUUAAACAUAGCUAUAGAUGUGGCUUCUGAUCUGGAUUAUCUACAUAAUCAUUUCCAAACUUAAAUCAUUCCUCUAGAUUUAAAGUCGACCAACAUUCUUCUUGAUGAUGACAUGAUUGCUAGCAUGGGUGAUUUUGGGCUAGCCAGGUUCUUAUCUGAGGUUGCCCAAACUACCUCAGCUGGGAUGAAGGGAUCUAUUGGGUACAUUGCUCCAGGUGGAGCAUACCAAAGGAAACCAUUGGGUAGAGGGAUGCAUGCCCUUGGUUUCUCGCAUGACCCAUUGUAUGUUUAUGUGAGAUACACUCCAACUAGAGGUGUACACAGAACCGAGCUAGCUCGGUUAGUUCGCUCGACUCGACUCGAAAAAGUUCGAUUUGACUCGGUUUGAAGUUGAGUUCGAGCCGAGUCGAGCUGAUUUUUUAAGCUCGAAAAUGAGUUCGAGCCGAGUUCUAGCUGGCCCCAGCUCGAUUUGACUCGGAUCGAACCCAGCUCGAAUCGAACUCAGAUCGAACCAGUUCGGUGACUCGGUUACUUUGAUAUUGAUGUUGCUCACCAAGUGUUUGAUGAAAUGACUCAAAGAAGUGUGGCUAGUGGCAAGGAAGAGUAUGCGAUGGGCGGUAAAUCAUCCACACAAGGAGAUGUUUACAGCUAUGGAAUCCUUCUAUUGGAGAUGAUCACUGGAAAGGGGCCAACUGAUGACAUGUUUAAGAACAAUCUAACCCUUCAUCAUUUCGUAAAUUGGCUUUACCUGAACGAGUAAUGGAGAUUGUUGAUCCACGACUGCUUGAAGGAGAAGCAGAAGUUACUCAAAGCAGCAGAAAUCAUAUCGAUAGAAGAAAUAGAAUGGGUGGCUGCUUGAUUUCAAUGAUCCGAUUCGGUGUGAUCUGUUCUGCGGAAUCUCCAAGAGAACGAAUGGAUAUUAAAGAUGUUUCACGGAAAUGCAUGCAAUCAAGGACUUGUAUCUUGGCAACGCGAUUCACGGAGAAACAAGUUUGGUCACAACUGUUAGACGAAGGUCCGUCUUACCUAUUUAAAAUUUUAAAACAAAAUAAGUUUGUUGAACACUUUUUAAUAAGCUCUAGAUAUAUUUAGUCUUGGCUUAGGAGUGGGCUUGUAUUGAUGGUGAAUAUAUUGCAAGAUGUGCUUUUUUUUUUUACCCCAUUUUUCUUUUUUCUUUUUUUUUUUUAUUUCAUGUGAGUCAAAGGGAGAUUGUAUCAUGAAUGUAAUGAGACAAAGGCAUCAUCUUAUUCCUAUAAGAGUACUAUUGGGUCAUUAAGAUGUUUAAUCACCAAAGCAUUUUAUUAAACCCUUUUCAAAAUGC